Molecule: ribosomal RNA, 468 nt
Filed under: uncultured bacterium
Lineage: Bacteria
Description: partial 16S ribosomal RNA
Rfam family: Bacterial small subunit ribosomal RNA
Source: RNAcentral
GACGAACGCUGGCGGCGUGCUUAACACAUGCAAGUCGAACGGAAAGGCCCUUCUUUUGUGGGGUUCGCGAGUGGCGAACGGGUGAGUAACACGUGAGUAACCUGCCCUUGACUUGGGGAUAACUUCAGGAAACUGGGGCUAAUACCGGAUAGGAGCUCCUGCUGCAGUGUGGGGGGUGGAAAGUUUCGGCGGUUGGGGAUGGACUCGCGGCUUAUCAGCUUGUUGGGGGGGUAGUGGCUUACCAAGGCUUUGACGGGUAGCCGGCCUGAGAGGGUGACCGGCCACAUUGGGACUGAGAUACGGCCCAGACUCCUACGGGAGGCAGCAGUGGGGAAUAUUGCACAAUGGGCGGAAGCCUGAUGCAGCAACGCCGCGUGCGGGAUGACGGCCUUCGGGUUGUAAACCGCUUUCGCCUGUGACGAAGCGUGAGUGACGGUAAUGGGUAAAGAAGCCCCGGCUAACUACGUG